AUGGAAUUCUGGCUUGCCACAGUAUCACUAUUUUGGUCAUCUGAAAACAUUGCAGAAUUGGAUGGAACUGGAGCCUCUGAAAUGCUAAGCUGACGGAUUUCUUGAAAAAGUGCCGCAGGAACACGUAAAGACUGCGCUACAUGCCAUGAAUCCAUCUGAAACAGAGCAUGUUUUCCAGAAACUCUUGUCAGCACCUCAAUGCACAUAAGAAUUACUGAACCUGGAUCUGGAAUAUUUUCCCUCCCACAGCUAAUUUGUUUCUCAUAGAAAAUUAUUGGACUCUGCAAGUGCACAAUAAUGUUGAACAAAGCAGCGAUCAAGUUCUGAAUGUGCCUUUUUACCACAUUUAGCCGUUUGCGACCUAUAACACAAACAAAUGGUCAAAACAAAAAUGUAUUGACCUAUUGAUUAAUAUACAAAAGAACUGAUAAAAAGAUGAAGAAAAAUAAGAAAAAGGAAAAAUUUUCAAUUGCAUCAUUCCAGGCUGAGCAGCAUUGAGCAAGUCAGACAUGUACUUUCUUAUAGCUAUUCAAACUCUACUUAAAAAUUUUAAAUACUUCACAUUUGCAUA
This 571-nucleotide long non-coding RNA is filed under the name Citrus sinensis (sweet orange). RNAcentral describes it as "long non-coding RNA (CSIN_LNC005779)". Lineage: Eukaryota; Viridiplantae; Streptophyta; Magnoliopsida; Sapindales; Rutaceae. The record is from RNAcentral.